RNAcentral lists this ribosomal RNA (272 nucleotides) under uncultured bacterium. Its description in RNAcentral is "partial 16S ribosomal RNA". It matches the Rfam family "Bacterial small subunit ribosomal RNA", at positions 84 to 354 of the family's 1533-position model. The record is from RNAcentral.
CCUGCCGGCGACCGGCGCACGGGUGAGUAACACGUAUGUAACCUGCCCUAUGCAGGGGGAUAACCCGGAGGAAUCCGGCCUAAUACCGCGUAACACCUUUUGGGAGCAUUCCUGGGAGGUUAAAGGAGAGAUCCGGCAUAGGAUGGACAUGCGUCGCAUUAGGUAGACGGCGGGGUAACGGCCCACCGUGCCGACGAUGCGUAGGGGUUCUGAGAGGAAGGCCCCCCACACUGGUACUGAGACACGGACCAGACUCCUACGGAAGGCAGCAG